UGCUAGGUGGCUGAGCAAAGCGAAAGCCUUUUAAGCUUUUUACGAUUUAAUCUCUAGCCA
This 60-nucleotide transfer RNA is filed under the name Portunion sinensis. Its description in RNAcentral is "tRNA-Lys". RNAcentral also lists the same sequence under 1 other name. Lineage: Eukaryota; Metazoa; Arthropoda; Malacostraca; Isopoda; Entoniscidae. The record is from RNAcentral.